This 500-nucleotide ribosomal RNA is filed under the name uncultured bacterium. Its description in RNAcentral is "partial 16S ribosomal RNA". It matches the Rfam family "Bacterial small subunit ribosomal RNA", at positions 30 to 523 of the family's 1533-position model. The record is from RNAcentral.
AUUGAACGCUGGCGGAAUGCUUUACACAUGCAAGUCGAACGGCAGCACGGACUUCGGUCUGGUGGCGAGUGGCGAACGGGUGAGUAAUGUAUCGGAACGUGCCCAGUCGUGGGGGAUAACGUAGUGAAAAUUCAGCUAAUACCGCAUACGAUCUAUGGAUGAAAGCGGGGGAACGCAAGACCUCGCGCGGUUGGAGCAGCCGAUAUCAGAUUAGGUAGUUGGUGGGGUAAAGGCCCACCAAGCCAACGAACUGUAGCUGGUCUGAGAGGACGACCAGCCACACGGGAACUGAGACACGGUCCAGACUCCUACGGGAGGCAGCAGUGGGGAAUUUUGGACAAUGGGCGAAAGCCUGAUCCAGCCAUUCCGCGUGCAGGAUGAAGGCCCUCGGGUUGUAAACUGCUUUUGUACAGAACGAAAAGGUUUCUACUAAUACUAGGAGCUCAUGACGGUACUGUAAGAAUAAGCACCGGCUAACUACGUGCCAGCCGCCGCCGUAA